This 253-nucleotide ribosomal RNA is filed under the name uncultured bacterium. RNAcentral's name for it is "partial 16S ribosomal RNA". It matches the Rfam family "Bacterial small subunit ribosomal RNA", at positions 524 to 776 of the family's 1533-position model. The record is from RNAcentral.
UACGUAGGGGGCAAGCGUUAUCCGGAAUCAUUGGGCGUAAAGAGCGUGUAGGCGGCCCGAUAAGUCCGCCGUGAAAGUCCAGGGCUCAACCCUGGAAUGCCGGUGGAUACUGUCGGGCUAGAGUCCGGAAGGGGCGAGUGGAAUUCCUGGUGUAGCGGUGAAAUGCGCAGAUAUCAGGAGGAACACCGAUGGCGAAGGCAGCUCGCUGGGACGGUACUGACGCUGAGACGCGAAAGCGUGGGGAGCGAACAGG